This 226-nucleotide long non-coding RNA is filed under the name Salvia miltiorrhiza (redroot sage). RNAcentral describes it as "long non-coding RNA (SMIL_LNC014198)". Lineage: Eukaryota; Viridiplantae; Streptophyta; Magnoliopsida; Lamiales; Lamiaceae. The record is from RNAcentral.
GGGUGUUGGUAACAACCUUGGCAUAUCAAUCGUUUCUUCCCUUUCCCAACAUCACAGACGCCAUUCCAACUCCUCUAAACAGACGCCAUUGAAGUUGCAGACGCCAUUGAGAGACGAAGCUAAUCUUCUCCGGUGGGAUUGAUCAAAUCGACAGUAAGGUAAGUUUGCAUGAUCGUUUUUCUGAAGUUUGGAAUGUGGACAGUAGCAAUAAGUCAUGCAAGCAAGG